Condylostylus longicornis is the source of this 4049-nucleotide RNA transcript. It is a transcript of the gene named ubiquitin-protein ligase E3A, with no coding region annotated. The transcript has 11 exons. The record is from RefSeq and is a predicted model, not a curated record. Lineage: Eukaryota; Metazoa; Arthropoda; Insecta; Diptera; Dolichopodidae.
UUUAAUUUUAAUAAACAAAGAAAAAUUUAAACAUUAAAACACAUUAGUGCUUUUUUUUAUUACGGCCUCAAGGUAAAAACUAAAUGUGUUUUAAAAACUUAUUUGAAAGUUUUAGGUUCAAGUAGGUUGAAGAUGAAAAUUAGAAGAAUAUCCACUAAAAAAAUAUGUCUCUAGAGAGGAAUCAUUAGUGUUAAUAAGUUUCACAGUAAGAAAAAAAUUUAAAAGUGAAAUUUAUCUAAAAAACUAAAAGAGACUCUGGAUGUUCCUAAUAUAUAGCAAUUUCGGUUUCGUUAUUGCAUAAGUGUGUGUAAAAAAAAGAAAAUUCAUACGAGAGGAUAUCAAAAAGUAACAAUAAGUAUAAAGACCAUAACAAAAUUUUUGGAUUUUUUCUAGCCUGAUAUACUUAUGAACUCUGAAAAAAAGGAAAAUUUGGACGGCGAAACUUCAAGAGAUACUGAAGAAUCGUCGUCUGUUGGCGAUAAGCCCGAUCAAGUAAAUAAUAUUUAUAAUUCUGAGUCAAGCGAAACAAUACUACCAAUUGAUCAAAACACAAAAAUAAAUUGUGACUCAAAUUUAACUCAAAACGAUAAAUUAAACGUCACUGAUCCAAAUUUAUUAGGAAAUAUUAUCACUAAUAAGGACGAUUUAGAUUCUGAAACACCUUCAGAUUCUGAGCAAGGUGUUUUAACAAACGAUUUCAAAACUUUUCCUGCUACUGAACAUAGUUUAGAUUGUACACCCACCUCUGUAACAACUUCUUCAAAUAAUCAUUCAAGUAAUUGUUUAGAAGAAACAGAAGAAAUGAAACGCGCAGCAGCUAGAAAAUUAAUUGAACGUUAUUUUUAUCAACUCUUACAUGGUUGCGGAAAUUCAAAUUGUAAAAACAAAUAUUGUGCAUCUAGCGGGGAAAUAGAAGAAUUAACACCAAAUCAAGCUGCAGCUAGGGCAAUACAAUUAUUUUCUCAAGAUGCAAAAUUAUGUGAUACUACUCAAAUCCAACCUUCAAAAAUAGCUAGAACAAGUCCUUCAUCCUCUUCGAAUGUAUCAGAGAUUUUAAAUACUUCUGAUGCAGGACAAUCUAGUUCUUUUUCAAUUGAAAGUAAUAAUUCGAAUAGUUUAUUAAAUAAUCCCGAACAAAGUUCAAGAGACCUUAAUGACACUUCGUACCCAAGAUCAACUACUUCAAAUACUUAUAAAUUAAAUAAUAGAAACGAUGGAUCCACAUCAUCGUCGAAUGCGACAACGCCGUCUAGUCAUAGUAGUAGUGCCAGUGCAUCAAGUGGAACGACAAGCAGUUCUAGUGAUUUAAAUUUGUCGUCAUCUAGUCAUAAAAUUAAAAGGAAACCAGUUUCAAGUCCCACCUCUUUUUUAAUUGUCCCUAUAACAUCUCUUGAUGAAGAAAAACUUACUCAAUUAAUUGAUGAGUGUAAAAGUGUCAAAUCAUACACAAAACUAAUCAGAACAAUCGGGGAAGUUUUUAGUUCAACUCAGUUACUAUCUGGAAGUUUUCGUAAAAAGCCUAAGACAAAAAUAGAUGAAGUUCUUGAAAAGGUUUCUGCGGAUUUAAAAAGUCUAAAGAAGGAGGAUAUACGUUCACUUGAAAGUGAUCCUGAUAAAGAUGAAGAUAGUUGUGCUUCAGAGAAUGCAAUAGAAGAAGAGGAAGAAUUUAAAAUAGAUAUAGAAAGCUUGAGAAGAUCAAUGGAGAAAUUAUUUUCUCUUGAUUGUCCUAUUUAUGAAGCUCUAAAUAAUGGAUUACAUAGUUUAUCGAUAUUAUUGACAGUUGAUUUAAUGACAACAGAAAAAAAAGAUUAUAUCGAGAAUGUUAUAUAUAUAAUGGUACUCGUCUAUGAAAUAAUGGCCAUGGCACCGAGUGAAUUUUUGGAGAAUGCUUUACCUAAUAUUUGUGGUGCUGCAGCGCAUUUACCGGUUUGGGCUGAAGCGAAAUUGGCUCGAAUUUGGGCAGAACACUGCAAAUCUAGUUUAAACCGUCUUCUUCAAACUUUACAACAGUUAAUAAGCUUGCAAGUUAUUACAGGAAAUUUCGGAAGAUCACGUUAUGUUGAAAAUAGUGAAGUAAUAACUAGUGCAACAAAAGUUUUAAAGAUUCUGUACUAUGCAAACAUAUUAGCUGGAACAAUAGAUUCAACAAAGUUAUGUGAAAACGAAAAUGGUAAAGACUCUCCAACAAAUACCUUUCAAGAUGAUGAUGAUUUUAUGCUAUACACGCAUUUGAAAAAUCGUGAAAAGAAAUUAAUAGAAGAUAGUUUGGAAAAGGAGUUGGGUGUUUCAGCCAUGGAUUGUCGAAUUCCACUAAUACCAUUUGAAGAAUUUUAUAAUGAACCUUUAAGUGAAACUAUUGAAAUGGACAAUGAUUAUUUAUAUUAUAAAAAUUAUACAAUGGAUAUUAGACCAAAUAGAAAAUUUACGUUUAUGUUAUAUUCCUUUAUAUUGACACCAGCGACCAAAGUAGUUGCGCUUUAUUACGAUAGUCGUGUAAGAAUGUACAGUGAAAGAAGAUUAACGAUAUUCCAACAUAUUAGUGAUGGAAAUGGUGCUGGACCAAACCCUUACCUCAAGAUAAGGGUGCGACGCGAAAAACUAAUUGAAGAUGCUCUUUUAGAACUUGAGAUGGUUGCAAUGGCAACUCCAAAAGAUUUCAAGAAACAGUUAGUUGUAGAAUUUGCUGACGAACAAGGUAUAGACGAAGGAGGCGUAUCAAAGGAAUUUUUCCAAUUAGUUGUCGAUGAAAUUUUCAAUCCGGAUUUUGGAAUGUUUGUCCAUCAAGAAGAUACAAAGACUGUAUGGUUUAAUUCAAAUUCUUUCGAAAAUGAUGCCCAAUUUACACUUAUAGGGAUUGUUUUAGGUUUAGCUAUAUAUAAUAAUGUAAUUUUGGCUGUGAAUUUCCCAAUGGUUGUUUAUCGAAAGUUGAUGGGCGGUAGAGGCUCAUUUUAUGAUUUGGCUGACUUUAACCCAAUAAUUUUUAAAAGUUUAAAAUCUAUGUUAGAUUAUACUGAAGUUGAUAUGGAAGAUGUUUUCAUGCAAACUUUUAAAAUAAGUUAUACAGAUGUUUUUGGUAAUCUUGUUGAACACGAAUUAAAAGAAGGCGGUGCUGAUAUUUUAGUUAACCAAGAAAAUAAAUUAGAAUUUAUUGAAUUGUAUGCCGAUUAUUUAUUAAAUACUAGUAUAGACAGGCAAUUUAAGGCAUUUAAAAAAGGUUUUGAAAUGGUGACAGAUGAAUCACCAUUAAAAUUGUUAUUUAGACCAGAAGAGAUUGAAUUAUUAGUUUGCGGGAGUAGGAAAUUCGAUUUCAUAGAAUUAGAAAAGUCAACUGAAUAUGAGGGAGGCUAUACUGAAAAUUCUCAAAUAAUUAAAGAUUUUUGGAAUAUAGUGCAUGGUUUGUCGAUGGAAUCCAAACGAAAACUCUUAGAAUUCACAACAGGUUCGGACCGAGUACCAGUAGGAGGUUUAAGCAAAUUAAAAUUGGUAAUUGCAAGAAACGGGCCAGAUUGCGAUCGCUUACCUACCAGCCACACAUGCUUCAAUGUUUUACUACUACCUGAAUACGAAAAUCGAGAAAAAUUGGAAGAUCGACUUCUGAAGGCCAUUAAUUAUUCGAAAGGAUUUGGAAUGCUUUAAAAAAAAUCGUACGUUUAAGUAAUAAAUCCCCACAAACUUUGAAUGACAUUUCAUAAUUUAUUUUGAAACAAUAAACAAUAAUGCCUUACCUAUAUUUUUAUCAAGCGUUAAAGUAAUAAACGUUUUUUAUUUUAAUUAUUUCCUUGAAUGCCUUUUAUUGAAAGAUUUAAAAGCUUACAGUAAAUGGAGGCGGUGGAAUGUGCUAAUGGAGAAAGAUGCUCAUAUAAUACACAUAUAUUAUGUACCUAUGUUAAAAUUUGUAAAAACUUAUUUGCUUUUGGAAGUUUUACUCUAAAACUUAUCCAGUGCGCAUAAAAUUUAAUUUUUCUACGCAAUAAAGAUUGAAUAAAUGUAAAAGAUUGUAAUUAAGUGUAUCACUCUAUACACAAAAGAAAUAAAAACUUAGAACAGUA